Molecule: ribosomal RNA, 440 nt
Filed under: uncultured bacterium
Lineage: Bacteria
Description: partial 16S ribosomal RNA
Rfam family: Bacterial small subunit ribosomal RNA
Source: RNAcentral
CCUACGGGGGGCAGCAGUGGGGGAUAUUGCACAAUGGGGGAAACCCUGAUGCAGCGACGCCGCGUGGGUGAAGAAGCGCCUCGGCGCGUAAAGCCCUGUCAGCAGGGAAGAAAAUGACGGUACCUGAAGAAGAAGCCCCGGCUAACUACGUGCCAGCAGCCGCGGUAAUACGUAGGGGGCAAGCGUUAUCCGGAUUUACUGGGUGUAAAGGGGGCGCAGACGGCGGUGCAAGCCAGGGGUGAAAGCCCGGGGCCCAACCCCGGGACUGCUCUUGGAACUGCGUGGCUAGAGAGCAGGAGGGGCAGGCGGAAGUCAUGGUGUAGCGGUGAAAUGCGUAGAGAUCAGAAAGAACACCGGUUGCGAAGGCAGCCUACUAGGCUACAACUGACGUUGAGGCACGAAAGCGUGGGGAGCAAACAGGAUUAGAUACCCGGGUAGUC